This is a long non-coding RNA of Drosophila sechellia, 1294 nucleotides long. RefSeq lists it as uncharacterized. The transcript is spliced from 3 exons. The record is from RefSeq and is a predicted model, not a curated record. NCBI's taxonomy places the organism in Eukaryota, Metazoa, Arthropoda, Insecta, Diptera, Drosophilidae.
CCGUAGGCUGCAACUUGUAAACUUAUUUUCACACACGAAUCCGCACACACUCAUGCACACUUACACGCUCUUAUAGAUGAAUGUAUCUUUUAUCCCAUUUGAUUCUUAGCCCGAAAUGUGAGAGCCCUGUGUUUGGGGGCGGUGGAAAUCCGAUGGAAAAUAGAAUAUUCAGCAAUGGCUCCACCGCUUCCACUGCUCCCGAUGAUGAUGAAUGGCUUGCGUGUGUUAGUUUCACGUGAACAUGUGAAAAAAUUCACAUCAAUUUGUAAGCAACCCACACGGACGACUUGCGCCCGCGCUUCAGAUUUUCACUACUCUGACCCAGCUUUUUUGUUUAACCAAAUCGUUGACUUUAAGAAACCGAAACCAGUCGGAGCGGAAGGCAAGCCAGAAUCAGACAGGUCACGUAUUAUUAUGGCCACAAAGCUUUGUCGUCCUGCCAGAAUUUGAUUCGUUUACCAACUUAUAGGCAGUGUUGGUAAAGGUACUCUGCCCGGCCACCAAGGUACUCAGUAAAGUACCCAAAAAUAGUGAUAUGUGUAAAAAAUCCCUCGAUAAAACAAUACAAGUUUAGAGGACUUGAAAAAGUACCUUGAUAUUGCCUCCUGGACACAGUGCUCCACUGCUUAUAGGCGUGAGUGCAUUUGACCCGGUUGCCCAGCCCAUUUGACUCCUGGCCCAAGUCCUUGUUUGGGUGUUGACAACGUCCGUCAGGUCGGGUGAUGAUGGUGUAUGCCGAUAACUUUUUCCGCACCAUGCCCUGUAAUCUGUCCUGGCUCGGCACUGCCUGCUCCUGGACGCGCCUGGGAUUACAAUCGCUGCUCCUGGAGGUCGAUGGGGCACGACGGCUGCUUGUGUGUGUGCAACCACAACAUGCUCAAAGCAACUUGAAUCGCUGCCCCCGGUCUCGAUUGUCAUGGGGGGGAUCUGAAGGACCACACACCGGCACCACUGCUAUUUGGAAUCUCAAUUGUCAGAGCUUGUGGUCGGUUCGAGUACUGGUAUCUGAUUGGAAGCAUCUUGAGGCACUGAUGAAGGGCUUGAAGGAAUGGAAACUGUUGACCUGGCCGACAAUUAAAGCUCUUCGAUUAUUAUCAGGACUUUAAGUUUGGAUGGAAUAUUUAUUUAGAGAUUUAGUUGUAUCAAACAAUCGAAUAUAAUUGAUUUCUCAAUUAAACUUGAAAGAAAACAUGAUUUUUAAACAUCAAUUGCCAAAAAAUUGUGCUUAAAAUUUAAAAUACUUGGAUAUGUUCAACUUGAAUGUAACAUAUUAGCCUUAAGCAUGUGCAAUGAA